RNAcentral lists this non-coding RNA (31 nucleotides) under Mus musculus (house mouse). The record is from RNAcentral. Lineage: Eukaryota; Metazoa; Chordata; Mammalia; Rodentia; Muridae.
UUCAGGUUUCAAAGAACUUGAGUUAAUGGUU